This 498-nucleotide ribosomal RNA is filed under the name uncultured bacterium. RNAcentral describes it as "partial 16S ribosomal RNA". It matches the Rfam family "Bacterial small subunit ribosomal RNA", at positions 28 to 523 of the family's 1533-position model. The record is from RNAcentral.
GAUGAACGCUAGCGGCAGGCCUAAUACAUGCAAGUCGAACGAUAGAAGAGGGCUUGCUCUCUUCGAAAGUGGCGCACGGGUGCGUAACGCGUAUGCAACCUACCUUAAUCAGGGGGAUAGCCCGAAGAAAUUCGGAUUAACACCGCAUAAAAUCACAGUACAGCAUUGUACAAUGAUCAAAUAUUUAUAGGAUUAAGAUGGGCAUGCGUGACAUUAGCUAGUUGGCGGGGUAACGGCCCACCAAGGCGACGAUGUCUAGGGGAUCUGAGAGGAUGACCCCCCACACUGGUACUGAGACACGGACCAGACUCCUACGGGAGGCAGCAGUAAGGAAUAUUGGUCAAUGGAGGCAACUCUGAACCAGCCAUGCCGCGUGCAGGAAGACGGCCCUCUGGGUUGUAAACUGCCUUUAUUCGGGAAUAAACCUCAUUACGUGUAAUGAGCUGAAUGUACCGAAGGAAUAAGGAUCGGCUAACUCCGUGCCAGCAGCCGCCGUAA